Molecule: long non-coding RNA, 859 nt
Organism: Dromaius novaehollandiae (emu)
Lineage: Eukaryota; Metazoa; Chordata; Aves; Casuariiformes; Dromaiidae
Exons: 2
Source: RefSeq, a predicted model, not a curated record
GGCCAGUUGCCGCUCGCAGCGUCACGGAGCGACGGGGCGGGCGGCCAAUCGGCGGCGCCUCAUUGAAAAGAAAAAAGGAGAGGAGGGGGCGAAGCGGGGAGGCGGCGGUGGGCGGGGCGCGGGGCUCGCGCGGGCCCGCCGGGCGCGCAGGGAGGGGCGCGCAUGCGCGGUGGCGGCCAGGGCUGGCGGCAGGGAGGGCCGUUUUCGCCGCGAAUACCUGCAUUAAUGAGGCUCGCCGCCGCCAUCCUGCCCCCCUGCGACUCGGUGCCGCUGCCAGAAAUUUCCAGGAGGCUCCGGGCGGCUCGGCGGGAGCCCCCGGGGAGGCCGCGCGGCCCCGUUUCGGCCUCGCCGGAGGAGAGGAGGGCGGCGAGGAAGGCGAAAGCCCGGAGACGCGGCGUUUCGGCUCCGAGCGACGCCGCGGGAAGAGCCGUUCCCGGUGUUGUUCAUCCCGCCGGCAGACUCCGGAGCCGCUCGGUUGUACUGGGCCGGGCCGUAGCAGCCCAGGACGAGUGGCGAGACGCUGGGCUCCCGCCGGUGUUAAUCAUUCGCCCGCCGAGGGCGGGGGCCGCGGUGGCACCGCCGAAAAUGCGGGCAGUUCUUCUCGGCCGCCCCGCCGUUAAUGAUUGACCGGGCCGCGGUUCGCUGCCCCGCUGCGAUAAGCUUCGGCGAUGGGGCAGCGCCGUGAAGAGGGGGGGCAGGAUCCAUCGGGGCCUCCUGCCCCGAUUCGGCACCCGAAGGAGAGGGGUGGGUGCUGGGGGGGCUCCGUGCCCCCCCCACACGUUAUGGGGAUGCCCGUGAGCGACUCGCGUGAGCCCCACCAAAAAGAAAUCCUUUAAUAGAGAGCGAUAAUGAAACGAUA